UAGAUUGGGUUGUGUAAAUCCUCUGUGCUU
This 30-nucleotide non-coding RNA is filed under the name Mus musculus (house mouse). Lineage: Eukaryota; Metazoa; Chordata; Mammalia; Rodentia; Muridae. The record is from RNAcentral.